GACGAACGCUGGCGGCGUGCUUAACACAUGCAAGUCGAACGGAAAGGCCCUGCUUUUGUGGGGUGCUCGAGUGGCGAACGGGUGAGUAACACGUGAGUAACCUGCCCUUGCCUUUGGGUUACCUUCAGGAAACUGGGGCUAAUACCGGAUAGGAGCUCCUGCUGCAUGGUGGGGGUUGGAAAGUUUCGGCGGUUGGGGAUGGACUCGCGGCUUAUCAGCUUGUUGGUGGGGUAGUGGCUUACCAAGGCUUUGACGGGUAGCCGGCCUGAGAGGGUGACCGGCCACAUUGGGACUGAGAUACGGCCCAGACUCCUACGGGAGGCAGCAGUGGGGAAUAUUGCACAAUGGGCGGAAGCCUGAUGCAGCAACGCCGCGUGCGGGAUGACGGCCUUCGGGUUGUAAACCGCUUUCGCCUGUGACGAAGCGUGAGUGACGGUAAUGGGUAAAGAAGCACCGGCUAACUACGUG
Molecule: ribosomal RNA, 468 nt
Filed under: uncultured bacterium
Lineage: Bacteria
Description: partial 16S ribosomal RNA
Rfam family: Bacterial small subunit ribosomal RNA
Source: RNAcentral